CAGCAGUCAUGCCAAAAAUUAGAUAUUUGAUAGGUUUGUGAGAGAAACAGAUGCAGAAAGAUGCCAUUCCCACAAUUUAGACUCCUUCUUAUCUUUAAGCGAGAAAGAACAUUCCAGACGAAGAAAAUCUAUUUUAUUGGCUUUAAAAAAUAACAAAGAAAAUGUAGAAAUAAAAAAAUGCUAAUUUGAAACUGAUGUCAUUCUUGGGGACCUAUAAACUGCAAAUCAGUGUUUCUAACUUAAAAAUAGUGGCCCAAGAUAUGCUUACUUGAGGUUUGCAUUUAUGCUACAUUUUUUUACCUCAGCUGUGUUGUUAUAAGUGAGAGAAAGUAUCUAUGACAUAUAUUCACAUAUAGUAAGUACUAUGUGACUGUAGCAAGAAAAAAAAUAGAAAAGUAUAAACCUCCAAAAGGUUAAAACAUCCAAAAAGUAUUCUCUCAGCUUUUUGGGGGGAAGCUUUUUGUGUCCCAUUCUUUUUAUUUAAUUCUGCCAGCUGUCUGCUAAACAAAUCUAGCCAGGUGGGGCUUACAACCCAUGACUAAAAAACCACUAGUGCAGCUGUCCAGCUUGCCCGGAGGAAGAAUUCAGACAAAUGGCAGGAACGAAAAGAUUGUUUUAUUUUCAAGAAAGUAGCUACUGUACCUUCUUCAAGGUUCAGUGUUUGUUUUUUGUUUUUUUUUUUUCUGUUUGCUUAAGCUAAUCCUUUUCGUCCUAAGGUUUUGUGGUAAAAUAGAAAAAUAGUGCCAAAAAUAGUGUUAAAAAUUUUUAGUGUAUUUUUUAAUAAUGAGUUUAAUUUAUUAUGAUUUUCCCUGAAAUAAAGGCUUUAUUUUACAUUGCAACCUUGUACUGAGUUGUCUUUUUUUUUUUUUUUUCCUUUGAGAGUUACUGAUUGCUAAAUCUUUUUUUUUUUUCUUUCUUUCUUAGGUAGGAACAAGUUAUUAGUGAACUGUGACUGAACUUUAUUUCUAAAUAUCACAUAAUUAAAUAUGGAGCUAUUUAAAGGUGAAGGUUGGCAUGGCUUAUGCGUGAGCAGAGGAACAGAACAGGCUUCUUUGCACUGCAUCAUCAGUCGACCUCAACUGUAAAUUUCUAGUCAGCAAAUGGGCGCCUCAUUUGGUGCAUCUGAGCAGAGGACGAAGAGGGCUGCGCUAAAAAUGAUACCAUUGCCAUCUGAGCUCCAGCUCCACUGAUGACAGAUCAAUGACUAAACCAUUCAGCUAUUUUCCCCGCUUCUUUGACAUUUGUCAAUUCAGUGCAUUUCAAUGCUUUCAUCCCAUCCAUCCUGCCUAAAAUUCUCACCUCAUGAAAAAACUGCUAGGGUUAUAGCUGGUUUCGGUCUUUGGUCCCAGCACCUGUUCUGGAGAGCUGACCCUCAUCUUCAGAAUUAAGACUCAACGCUGAUUGUAGCCAGACUUCUACAACACUCCUCGGGGAAGUUCUUGGGGUGUCCUUCACAGAAGCAAACAGGAACCGGAAAUCUUUGACAGGCAAAAGUAAAGUGCUUCUUAUGUCCAUUCACCAGCUGUGAUUUGGGUAUAGGUUGAAAAGAGAAUGAGAGUAAAAGAGAGAGUAAGAGUUUUCUUAGCAAGGGCACGUGCCAGUUUGUAAAUUGGUGAAGAUUUUUGAUUAAAUCUCAGAGCAGAUUUGGCAAAAAGCUAGAACCAGGAGACUGACAUAUUUAGUUGCCUUAUUCUGCCACAUAGAGCAAGUGACACAGGAAACAAUGCCUGUAGUCUGAGUUCUGCAGAUCAACACGGUACCCAGAAUAAACCAGCAAAGACAGAUCAGGUCCUUUUAUUGUAGAACAGGACUUGAGUGAUAUUGACCGGGGUGCUCCCAAACCCAAAAGCAACAAGCCCAAUUCCUCAUGAGGAAACUGAAGUGACAAUGCAGAACUAACCCUCCCAGUUUGUUGUUCGUUAAUAAAGAAGGAGUAAUGGGGGAUUCUUGGCAAAACUUGUAUGUAUGCAUAAUAAUCAUGUACUACAAAAGAGUAAAUGACAUGACAGCCCUCAGAGGGUUUACACAUGCAUUUGAAUCUUAGAAGUUAAUAAGUUAGAAAAAAAGAUGUGAAUAAGUUGUGCAAAAACAUAUCAACAAACCAGAUUAAAAGAAGUAGAGUGUCCCUUCGCCUUCCUCCCCAUCCCUGAAACCUGGUCAGCUACCCCUCAUAUCACAGCAUCCAUCUUGAUCCUAAAUUUAUGCUUCCCUCUUUGGACUGAACUACUUUUGGACAGUGGGGGCAACCAACAUAUUGCCUCUGUAGUGACUUUGUGCUUAUGCAGGGAUAAAUACCAAGACCAAAUUUACAAAUAUUAUAAAGGCAGCAUCAUUUGCUUUUAGUGUAUCACACUGACAAGAAAGAACAAAUAGCUGUUUAAGAAAGAAUACUCUGAGUACUAUACAUGUAAGAAGGGGUGACUUGGAGAAAAAAAAUUAGAAAGAAAAUCUCAUAACAUUUCCUCCUUUUUCCUUUCUUCCUUUUUGUAUGCACGUGCAUAUGAGUCUGUUUGUAUUUAAAUUCUCUUUAAGUACAUCUUUAAAUGUGGGCAAGGAUUGCUUCAUAAUAGAGUGCAGACAAGCAAAUCCAUAAUACAUACAUUUUCUAUAUUUUCUCCAUUUUGAGAUUGAUGAAUGGAGAACUAAAAGAAUAAAUAAUUUAUACUUGUAGAAAGAGAAAUAUGUAUGUGUGUUCGGCAAAGAUCUUAGAAAUCUUAAUUUCUAAACAUGUGGUGAGUAUAAACUAAUACGGAGAUGGAAAAGUUUUCUCUAAUGUUUUCUCCAUUAGCAACAACAUUUAUAGUGGAACCAAAGAUUUUCAGUCCAAAGUAAGUUUGUAAUUAAUAGGGUGAUUUUCUCUUACAGACAUUCAGAUAUGGCAUGUCCUUUUGUAAGUAGUAAUUUCAUGAAGCAAAUGCUCCUAUAAUAUAGUUAAUCUGAAACAUGGCUGUUAGGUCUGCUGUUUUAUAUCUGCAUGGUAAAGGGUAUUCAAUACCUUCUUAAGCUUUAUGUCUUCUUCUUUAGCUUUCCAGGCUGUCCAUCCUAGACCUGUCUCCUAGCCUUCGUGAAAGUGGGUCCUCUCUUUCUCAUUUUGCAUUAUCUCAGCCUUUUGCUGACUUCUAAUCCCUAGGAUCAUGAACUGGAUUUGAACAUUUAACCUUGAAACUAUGUCCCCAGGAAAAAAAAUGAACACUGAAUCUUUCUCAUGUUUCAAAAAUAAUUUUCUCAUGGAAGUAGGGUCAUGUUUUUAAAACUAUUCGAUCAAAACAUGCAACCCAUGUACCCCGUUAAUAGCAGAUAAUAUAAAAAUGCACAGAUUCCAUGGUUCAGUCCGAGAAGCACACAAGGUAGAAGACUCUCACAAGACUUUCAUCCUGUGCCCUCAUUUUGGCAUCUCUCUGAUGAUAGCCCAGCAGACUAACAGUGUGUUUCUGUAUUGUGCAAGAGAUGGUAAGAAUUUGAAGCUCAUUUUACAGUAUGAAUUUUUCCAAUGUAUCACAAUUACACAAAUACCUGGACUUUCUAACAAUUUGCUGAUUCACUCCGAAAGUUCAUUGUCUUUGAAUAUCUGUACUGUCAGUAUCUCUGCCUUCUGUAUUUUAUUCUUUCUCUUUACUCUCUCUCCCUCCUGCCUCCCUCUGCUCCUUCUCGCUUGCUUCAGUUUUUGUUUCCCUCCAUUCUACGUCUCUGUUUCUCCUUCUUUUCUUUUACUUCUCUUUUUUUCUUCUGUUGUACUUCCCUUCCCCUUGUUACCUUUUGAAAAUCAGCCUUUAAGCCAAGGCUUUUCUUAAGGCCCAAGGACGUCCAAUUCUAGAAAACUUUCAUCUAUUCAUUAAAAUGUGGAAAAAACAAAGCUCCAACAAACAAUGCUGCCUAUCAAAGAGCAGACGUGUUAUUCCAGAGAAAUCAUAGCUAAUGAUUUCAUUUUCUAUCGAAUGUGUUUCCUGUCUCACAAUAAUUAAAAGGCUCCUACAAGGCUACAAAGGCAUGCCAUUUGGGUCUGAGCAACUAACCUAAUGUGUAGAUUUGACUUCACACAGCAAUCGCUUAUUGAGUCAGAAUAGACAGACCUUCCCGCGUGCUCUCAUGUUGUACUGUUUACAAGGCAGUCCUGUACUUCUGGUUUACAGCUCUACUUAGAUCCUGUUACAGUUAUACUUAGAUCUUUCUUUUGGUAAGAUGGAAUUUAAUGAGAAGGAAAGUGUGCUUUCAGUUUGCAUUUGCAGAAGGAUUUAUAGUUAAACUUAGGGUAUGUAAAAACCACAUUUACCCCAAAAUAAGCAAAGGAUUCAUUCACAGAAAGAACAAAAUGGCCCCACCUGAAUCAUCAUGAAAGGAAUUCUUUAUAAAAUUUUUUGAGUGUAUAAAAUAUUAAAGAAAUAUUUCUCCGAAACCAACAAGUUUCCUACCUUUUGGAAAUCCACCUUAAGGUUGGUUACAACUCUGGUGCGCUGAUCAUUUGCAAACCCCACUGCUGCAACCAAGGAAGGGUGGGGCUGCCUCCUGAGACAUCUGUGAACCAGAAUUGCUGGCAGGGACUGCUACGAUUUCCAUGGAAGUGACUGCUCACAGCCUGGCUGCAGGCACAGUAGACCUGGGGUAACUACUUCCACAUAUCAACACCUUGUCAGAGGAGGUCUGAAAGGCACAGCAACUCUGGGAAAGGAAAGUACCUGCUUUAGGGAGAGCUAACCAGCUACCCCGCCUUCCUCUACCAUCAAGUCUUUCACAUAAAAGACAGAAAGGAAGCCAAGUAGGAAAAAAAGAGUAAUAAGCAAAAUAAGUGUUUAAAUUAUGGCACUGGUUGGCUCUGAUUAUUGGUAUUUAGCUACAUAAUAAAUUUCUAAAGAUUCGGAUCACAUAGGAUUAUCUAACCUUAGAAGAACUUAGUCUAUCUAGGUCUAAACUUGAACACAGAAUAUAGUUUAAAUGUACUAUUGUGGCACACACACUUGUGAUUCUUUGGGAGGUGGUUCACAAGCAAUUUGUGAUUAAUAAUAGCUUUCCACUGAUUUACUUAAAAAUAAAUUAGAGUGGAGGAUUCAAAGUUAUUCCUAUGAGAAUUUCAUUCUCACUCACUGAUAUUCCCAUCUGCAUUCUCGUUUGAAUGAGAAGAAGGUGGAGGUAUAAAUAAUAUCCGGGGAAUCACAUACAUCCUUAAAUGUCCAGGAAACGGUGUCCCCUGUGUUAAUAUAAUUUGCCGUGUGUUUUUGAGGGGGAACAAAAUCCAAACGCUGAGAUCCACUGCUUCAGGAUUUGAGUUGCUAAUAUUUUUUAUUUGUCUGUAUUUAAUCUCCUUAAAAUCAUGACAUAAAGAAAGAAAAGUAUCAUUUUGUUAAGCAUCUAACAAUAAUGAUAGAUGAGGCCUCAAAAAGAUUGUCUAGUUGCUCCUUCUAUGGGCUGGAUCACACCUAAACCUGCUGAGAAUAGUCAGCAGUGGUGCACCCUCUGAUCAUUUCAAUUCAGAUUCAGAGUAUAAAGUGCUGGAAAGUGCUAUGAUGAGGAGGUAGAAUUUAUAACUGAACUUAAAAUAUGAAAUCUGUGCAUGUGCUCCUGAGGGGCAGUUGCUGUAUUAAAGAUAUGUUAUAAAAGAAGCUCCUUCUUGUAAAAAUAAGCUCAACAUUGCUCUUGGGAUAAGCAAGCCUUCGUUUUCCUCACUUUUGCUGAAGUUGAAAGCAUCUGAAUUAUAUUGGACAUAUCUAGCACCUAUAGAAAUUGUGAGCUGGCAUUAUUUUAUAUGUUUAUUGUUUGUUCUAUGUUUGUCCUCUUUUCUAGAAAUAAGUCUCAUGAAGACAAGGAUUUCAUGUUUAUAUUUUUAUUUGCAGUGCCUAUACCAAGGUAACAACACCUGAUGUGCAUUAUGAUCAUUGACUAUUUGUUGAAUAAAGAAAACAAAAUCCCCCACUUUUUCUCAGGAAAAGUCAGCAGCAUCACAUUCUCACCGUUUCAGAACCUGUGGACCCAAUAGGCAUCUUAUCUUUUAUAGAGCCGUUCAGGAGAGGUUGACUGAUAUAAGGCAUUGGCUUUUAUUUUCUUUAGAAAAAAGAAAAGAAAAUCUGAUACCAUUUUCACUAGCCAGCGCGAUCUUUCUGGUUUCUUAGUUGGCAAAGGAAAAGCACAGGUUGAAAUGUUUAGAAAAGAUAAAGGAUCGUUUUUGAAUUUUGAAGACCGGGGCUUUUACACAUGAUUUCAAAGUUGAUUGAGCACGUAAAGCUUGAUGAAGACAAAUCCUGCAAAAGCAAAGAAACCCCUUCUGAUGAGUACCCCGGGUGUGAACACACCACACCAUGACCAUGUAGAAAUAAUAGCCUGUAUCGGCAACAGAGGCUGCUAUUUAAUGAGAGCAGUGCCAUUGUUCUUGAAAGUCUAAUUGGUAAACAUCUUGCAGUGCUGACUCAUCAGAACUGAAAACCCAGUCAUACAUCACCAUUGUGAUUUAACACUAAUGCUGAAAUUCACAUCACGGAGUAGGCUACAGCAUCCGCUGAAACUCAAACAGGUCGCUGAAAGGUGCAUUUCAUCAGUGAGCAACUUCUUUCAUAUCAAAGGAAUUUUACCCCAAGUGUGGCAACUGGCUAUGUUUGAAAGCAGUUAACUGUUGGGGGAAACGAGUUGUUUUAGUUCCCUAUAAAAAGGUAAUAAUCUCUAAUCCUGGAUGUUUUAAAAGUUGUUUCCUCAAAUUCCACAGCAAACAAUAUGAAAUAACAACCUAGUAUCUUUGUAUCUUAAUCAUGUUCGGUAACGAAGCCCUUUAGAUAAUUGGCACUGCUUCUGUAGUAGGCCAAACUUUCUUUCAAGUUACAAAUACUCACAAAAGGUUUACAUUAUAAGGGGCUGCUUUGGAGAUGUGCAGAUUUAGUUUGUAAGUACAAAGUGAACAUGCAAAUUGCCUUAUCUUGUGGGAUUCACAAACAACCAUCAUUCAGAUUGAUUUAAUACAUGGCUUUUUAUCUUUAAAAGUGUUAAUUAGAAAAUAGGGACAGUUCUCUGAACACUUAAGAGUAAUAAAUAGAUCAAAACAGCAUCCAUGCUUCUGUGAUGGAACUUCUGAGGGCUUUGUAAAAGGAUUAAUGCAAUUGUCAAAAAGACCACAGUCUACAUAUUUAAUAGUGUUACCAAGCUACAAUUACAUGUUUAGGACUUUAUUGCGAAGUUUCUCAAAAUUAGCUGUCUUGAAAAACUGAGAUUUGGGGUGACAUUGUUCAACAUUUGAAGUUACUGUUUUGUUUUAAUGUUUCCACCUUGAACCCCUAAAUAUUCUCUUCCAGAGACGAUUCUAAAACCGCAAGUGAAUAUCAGAAGUUCUUCAAACAAAGAUGGGCCGUAGAACCGCACAAAGUAACAUGUUAAGAGAAAAAAUAUGAUUCUUGCAUUUUCUUUUGAAUGAAAAACAUAAAAUGAUUCGCUGAGAAUUUGCCUCUAUUUUGCAAUUUCUCUAUAAUCUGACAGUUAAACGCAUGUGCUGAGAAGUCAAUCUUGGCUCUGCUACUGCCUGGCUCAGUGACUUCAGGCAAGUGACGUUACAUCUCUGUGCCUCGGCUCAUCUGUAAAAUGUGCAAAAUCACAGACCCUUUCUCCUAGGGUCUUUGGUGGGGAUUAAAUAAAAUAGUGUUGAGUGGUGCCUGGCACUUGAGUAAGUGCUCUGUAAGUUAUGAUAAUUGAGGCAUUUGCUAAUGAAUCUAGAUGGUGGUUUUCACUAGGCUUAGUUAUAUGGUUAUCCUAUCACCAGCUUUAAAAAUACUUGUGAAUGCCUCUUCAAAUUU
Molecule: long non-coding RNA, 7763 nt
Filed under: Sus scrofa (pig)
Lineage: Eukaryota; Metazoa; Chordata; Mammalia; Artiodactyla; Suidae
Description: lncRNA (ENSSSCG00000051855.1)
Source: RNAcentral